Hippopotamus amphibius kiboko is the source of this 263-nucleotide long non-coding RNA. RefSeq lists it as uncharacterized. Lineage: Eukaryota; Metazoa; Chordata; Mammalia; Artiodactyla; Hippopotamidae. The transcript is spliced from 3 exons. The record is from RefSeq and is a predicted model, not a curated record.
GGAUGCUAGACAUUCCUCAUGGGAUACCCGAAGGGCAUACUAAAAAGACAGCCACAGUUUUCCUACUGACUGCGGCCAAGUUUCUUGAGGGCCCAGCUGUUGGGGUGUGGCAAAUUACAGUUUAACCCCCCACUUAAGGAGAUAUUUGGGUACCAGACACGGAGUGAAGGGUGAGCUGGCUGCGGGGAUCUCCAGGCAGGAAGAACGGCAUCCACCAGGGGGCCCGUGGUUGAGUUUUUAAGCAGGAUCAAGUUACACAGCAC